RNAcentral lists this ribosomal RNA (253 nucleotides) under uncultured bacterium. Its description in RNAcentral is "partial 16S ribosomal RNA". It matches the Rfam family "Bacterial small subunit ribosomal RNA", at positions 524 to 776 of the family's 1533-position model. The record is from RNAcentral.
UACAGAGGUCUCAAGCGUUGUUCGGAUUCAUUGGGCGUAAAGGGUGCGUAGGCGGCGCGGUAAGUCGGGUGUGAAAUCUCGGAGCUUAACUCCGAAACUGCAUUCGAUACUGCCGUGCUUGAGGACUGGAGAGGAGACUGGAAUUUACGGUGUAGCGGUGAAAUGCGUAGAUAUCAGGAGGAACACCAAUGGCGAAGGCAGCUCGCUGGGACGGUAUUGACGCUGAGACGCGAAAGCGUGGGGAGCAAACAGG